AGGAGAUUAUUACAAUGUUUUACUCAGACAGUGUCCCAGUAAAAGUCAACACUCAGUACUUUCUCACUACAUGAGACGAAGAGCACACAGACAGUAACUUUCCACUGUUGCAUAAAGAGACAUCAUUACAUACAAUGUAAUUUUCCAUUACACUAAUGAGAGAUGCUG
Sebastes umbrosus (honeycomb rockfish) is the source of this 168-nucleotide long non-coding RNA. RefSeq lists it as uncharacterized. The transcript has 3 exons. Lineage: Eukaryota; Metazoa; Chordata; Actinopteri; Perciformes; Sebastidae. The record is from RefSeq and is a predicted model, not a curated record.